RNAcentral lists this ribosomal RNA (484 nucleotides) under uncultured bacterium. RNAcentral describes it as "partial 16S ribosomal RNA". It matches the Rfam family "Bacterial small subunit ribosomal RNA", at positions 30 to 507 of the family's 1533-position model. The record is from RNAcentral.
AUUGAACGCUGGCGGCAGGCCUAACACAUGCAAGUCGAGCGGAUGAAGGGAGCUUGCUCCUGGAUGCAGCGGCGGACGGGUGAGUAAUGCCUAGGAAUCUGCCUGGUAUUGGGGGAUAACGUCCGGAAACGGGCGCUAAUACCGCAUACGUCCUGAUGGAGAAAGUGGGGGAUCUUCGGACCUCACGCUAUUAGAUGAGCCUAGGUCGGAUUAGCUAGUUGGUGGGGUAAAGGCCUACCAAGGCGACGAUCCGUAACUGGUCUGAGAGGAUGAUCAGUCACACUGGAACUGAGACACGGUCCAGACUCCUACGGGAGGCAGCAGUGGGGAAUAUUGGACAAUGGGCGAAAGCCUGAUCCAGCCAUGCCGCGUGUGUGAAGAAGGUCUUCGGAUUGUAAAGCACUUUAAGUUGGGAGGAAGGGCAGUAAGUUAAUACCUUGCUGUUUUGACGGUACCAACAGAAUAAGCACCGGCUAACUUCGUG